CCUGCGCUGACCAAAGUGCACUCAUCAGUAAAUGCCAAGCCGUAAACUCCACCCAAGUUGGCUCCUUUUAUGGUUAUGCGGCUUGAAGCAGGCUUCCCAACUUCAUAAAUAAUGACACAGGUAUCUAGUGAUCCAGUAGCCACCAAAGAGCUAUUAGGAGACCAUGCGAGGCAGUUUAUACGAGCAGUGUGGUACAGCAUGUUAUUAAGCUUAACCUCCUUGGAGGCACGGUCCCAAACAACAGCUUCACGAUUUAUAUCAGCAGAGGCAAACAUGGAGACAUCUGGCGAAUAUCGUAUUACACUGAUUGCACCUCUAUGCUUCUCAAGGACUGCUUCUUCAGUAAGAUUAUCA
Molecule: unclassified non-coding RNA, 354 nt
Filed under: Hevea brasiliensis (rubber tree)
Lineage: Eukaryota; Viridiplantae; Streptophyta; Magnoliopsida; Malpighiales; Euphorbiaceae
Source: RNAcentral